AGUGAACGCUGGCGGUAGGCCUAACACAUGCAAGUCGAACGGCAGCACAGUAAGAGCUUGCUCUUACGGGUGGCGAGUGGCGGACGGGUGAGGAAUACAUCGGAAUCUACAUUUUCGUGGGGGAUAACGUAGGGAGACUUACUCUCAUACCGCAUACGACCUACGGGUGAAAGCAGGGGAUCUUCUGACCUUGCGCGAUUGAAUGAGCCGAUGUCGGAUUAGUUAGUUGGCCGGGUAAAGACCCACCAAGGCGACGAUCCGUAGCUGGUCUGAGAGGAUGAUCAGCCACACUGGAACUGAGACACGGUCCAGACUCCUACGGGAGGCAGCAGUGGGGAAUAGUGGACAAUGGGCGCGAGCCUGAUCCAGCCGUACCGCGUGGGUGAAGAAGGCCUUCGGGUUGUAAAGCCCUUUUGUUGGGAAAGAAAAGCAGCAGCUUAAUACCCCGCUGUUCUGACGGUACCCAAAGAAUAAGCACCGGCUAACUUCGUG
This 492-nucleotide ribosomal RNA is filed under the name uncultured bacterium. RNAcentral's name for it is "partial 16S ribosomal RNA". It matches the Rfam family "Bacterial small subunit ribosomal RNA", at positions 29 to 507 of the family's 1533-position model. The record is from RNAcentral.